RNAcentral lists this long non-coding RNA (401 nucleotides) under Fukomys damarensis (Damara mole-rat). RNAcentral describes it as "lncRNA (ENSFDAG00000022861.1)". The record is from RNAcentral. Lineage: Eukaryota; Metazoa; Chordata; Mammalia; Rodentia; Bathyergidae.
GGUUCUUCUGGAGCGUUCUGAGUUCUGUAUUAUGUAUCUGGAGUUCUAAAUCAGGAAACCAUGCUGGCUGCACUCUGGAAGCUUUUCUGCUUUCUUCCGAUGGAUUGGCUAUCAACAUGAACUGCUAGUUAGCAGAAAGAACAAUCAGGCUAGCUUGGCUGAGUCUGUUCUCCAAACACUGGUUUCAAAAUGCUCAUAGUUGGAGAACAGGAUGCAGUUGAGCGAUGCAAACAGGCCUUUUGUGGUGUUGCUGGAGUUCAGACACCCUGCUUUAAGAACGAAGGUGAUCAGUAUGUAUCACAGACACGUACAGAUAUUCCUCGUUUAAUGACCUACCUGGUUAACGACUACUUGGACUUACGAUCUGCAUCAGACUUACAGCGCAGGAACAUGGACAGCAG